AUUUGAUACUGUAGGCCAUGCACAGAUCUCUGAUAAGCUUGCUGCUUCCUGCAUCAUUCUGGGUUCACAAUUAACUUCUCAAACACAACUUUCAGCUUUUCUGUGUCACCCUCAUUCUGCAUUUUUCUCUCCACAUGCUUUCUCCUUUUUGCACCCUGUGCCUUCAUCCCAUGGGGGACCAUUCUCAGCUUCCAAAUCUCCUGUGAGGAUGAGGAUCUCUGAGCUCACACCUCCUCACCCAGUUCACCCUCUGCCUGCUGGAUGCACACUGCAGAACUGGAACUAACAGAGAAGCCGUCCCUGUACAGGAUACUGAGAAGACUGGCAGGACUUUUUGGUCAUUGAAAUGUAACUAUGACAUCUAUCCAAAAGUGCCACUGGAAGAAUGAGGAGUGGAAUAGAACAAAAGCCACUACAUUUAUGAACAAGCAGAUGGUACCUGGGAGCCUGACUUAGCCAUACUGGAGGUGAAGUGAAGCCUGAUCUGUGGAAAGCUGGGAGUGGCAGUGCAGCACCUGCUCAGGUGCCACCUGUGUGACACUGUCAGGAGUCUUCCAAGCUGCCAGCGAGGGAGAGGAGGAUCAGUUUGCAUAGCCUGAGGAAAAACAAAGUGAAAGAGACAGGAAGAGAGGGGUUUUCUGUAUUUCUGUUAACCUGUAGUUACAACCCUUCAGUGACAGAUUUGCCAACAGCAAAGAGUGAGACAAAUAUCUGCAAUCUGAAGUGUCUGGAAGUAAAUUCUCACAUGCCUUCACUGUACUGCUUUUGUUUGCAGAACCUUUCCAUCUGGAUGAGUAGCAGGAACAGGAAAGCAUUUGAAGCUAGGAAAACCACCAUACUGCUGUCUAUAAAGCACUGAUAGGAUUUUUAUGUGGAGCUCUAAAGAGAAUGACAUGCAGUGCUUUAUUUUUUGGUUUUGUUUUGGUUUUUUUUUCCUUUUGCCAAGUCAGAGAGCUCAGAUGUUUGCAAGCAAAACAAAAU
RNAcentral lists this long non-coding RNA (981 nucleotides) under Cyanistes caeruleus (blue tit). RNAcentral describes it as "lncRNA (ENSCCEG00000023739.1)". Lineage: Eukaryota; Metazoa; Chordata; Aves; Passeriformes; Paridae. The record is from RNAcentral.